Molecule: small nucleolar RNA, 135 nt
Organism: Parus major (Great Tit)
Lineage: Eukaryota; Metazoa; Chordata; Aves; Passeriformes; Paridae
Source: Ensembl
UGCAGCCCAGUCAAAUUCGGUGCCAGCCCCGCCAUGGCAGGGACCGGCCAGCGGCUGCCACAGUGUCACCUCCGUGCCACAAACCCCGUGUCCCCUGCCCCGGGGCCCGGGGGGUCAAUGCCACCGGAGACACGC